GAUCCUGCCGGACCUGACUGCUAUCGGAUUGAUACUAAGCCAUGCGAGUCAUUGUAGCAAUACAAGGCAGACGGCUCAGUAACGCGUAGUCAAUCUACCCUAUGGACGGGAAUAACCUCGGGAAACUGAGAAUAAUGCCCGAUAGAACAUUAUGCCUGGAAUGGUUUAUGUUUCAAAUGAUUUAUCGCCAUAGGAUGGGACUGCGGCCUAUCAGUUUGUUGGUGAGGUAAUGGCCCACCAAGACUAUUACAGGUACGGGCUCUGAGAGGAGUAGCCCGGAGAUGGGUACUGAGACACGGACCCAGGCCCUAUGGGGCGCAGCAGGCGAGAAAACUUUGCAAUGUGCGAAAGCACGACAAGGUUAAUCCGAGUGGUUUCUGCUAAAGAAACCUUUUAUCAGUCCUAGAAACACUAAUGAAUAAGGGGUGGGCAAGUUCUGGUGUCAGCCGCCGCGGUAAAACCAGCACCUCAAGUGGUCAGGAUGAUUAUUGGGCCUAAAGCAUCCGUAGCUCGUUUUGUAAGUUUUCGGUUAAAUCCAUGCGCUUAACGUAUGGGCUGCCGGGAAUACUGCAUAACUAGGAAGUGGGAGAGGUAGACGGUACUCGGUAGGAAGGGGUAAAAUCCUUUGAUCUAUUGAUGACCACCUGUGGCGAAGGCGGUCUACCAGAACACGUUCGACGGUGAGGGAUGAAAGCUGGGGGAGCAAACCGGAUUAGAUACCCGGGUAGUCCCAGCUGUAAACUAUGCAAACUCAGUGAUGCAUUGGCUUGUGGCCAAUGCAGUGCUGCAGGGAAGCCGUUAAGUUUGCCGCCUGGGAAGUACGUACGCAAGUAUGAAACUUAAAGGAAUUGGCGGGGGAGCACCACAAGGGGUGAAGCCUGCGGUUCAAUUGGAUUCAACGCCGG
This 905-nucleotide ribosomal RNA is filed under the name uncultured archaeon. RNAcentral's name for it is "bacterial SSU rRNA". It matches the Rfam family "Archaeal small subunit ribosomal RNA", at positions 10 to 921 of the family's 1478-position model. The record is from RNAcentral.